UCAAUCAAAAUCUGUACAAGUUGUCAACUUUAGACAGAAAGUAUUUAAUGGUUUUAUUGCCGGUCAUUUAGAGUGAUUGUUUUUCCUGAGUGUGUUUUAUGUCAAGCGUAUGGUGUCAUGUUUAAUGACGGCUCGUGUUUCGACAUUUACUGUUUAUUGACAUUUGAUGUCAGAUCUCAACCAUCCUCCCACCUUUGCUCGCCCCGUGCGCUUCUCAAUACUGACUUUCACACCGCGGGUGUGUUGUUGAAUCUAAAGUUUUGCAACAGCAUAAGUUUAUUUAAAGGCAAGCACUAAUCAUAUAUAUAUAUAUAUUAGAUGUACCUGGCUACGCUUAAAGCCGAUGUUUUCUAUCGAGCUAUAGUUUCUGAUCAGACACAAAGUCUGAACUAAAUAAAAUUUUAAACGGUUCACGAAGUCCGGGAAUCUUUUCAUGACCUGGUCUACAGUUUCACGCGUAUUAAAGAUCCGGCGGUGUCUGACAAAGCCUCGGGUGAUUGUUCAUAUCUGUCAUUUAAAAUAAAGUUAAUAAAUGUAAUUCUGUCCACUAUGGCAAAAUAGGAAUUUAUUUUAGAUUAGGGGAAUCUUUAACCAUGUCUCUGAUUAAAACUUUUGAUUGUAACAUCACAAGUUAUUUAAUUAAAUAUUCUGUAUACGGGUAUAGUUUAAGCAAUGACCUGAGCCAUUACCUUCGGAGCCGUCAAUACUACAUUCUUUAGACGAUAGUCUAAACUAAAUAAAUUUUUAAACGGUUCAGGAAUUCCGUGAAUCUUUUCAUAACCUGCACUAUAGUUUCACGCGUAUUAAAGAUCCGGCGGUGCCUGACAAAGCGCCGGGUGAGUGUUCAUAUCUGCCAUUUUAAAAUAAUGUUAAUAAAUGUAAUUCUGUCCACUAUGGCAAAAUAGGAUUUUAUUUUAGAUUUAGUGGAAUCUUUAACCAAGUCUCUGAUUAAGACAUAUGUAUACGUGCACAGAUGGUGACAGAGAAACUUAUAUAUGACGUUAAUAAUCUUUUAAAUGUUUUUAAGACGUAUUCACCCCAUUUUGGGGUUUUAUUUUUAAUUAAAGGCUUCUUAAAACAUGUGUGAAUAUGUGUAUAUUAUACAAAGAGUCUUAUAUUGUCUGCUCUGACAAAAAUAAAGUAUUUUUUAGGUUUAGGGGAAUUGACUGCGUGUGUCUUAUAAAUACAACUUGAUAAUACGUUUGUUUUGUAAAGAGACUUCUUUAAAGUCACGCAAGAAUAAAAUAUUUUAGUUGUAACUGGUUAAACUUAAAGCCGAUAUUUUCUAUCGAACUAGUCUAUUUUCUGUUCAGACACAAAGUUUUCUGAUGCUGAUAUUAUGUCAGUGUGUUUGUGUGGGGGUCGUGUGAUGUAAUCUUUGAAAGUUUAUGACCGAACCUUUAUUGGGGAGCGACAAGAGAUCUCCCGGAAUCAGUUUGGAUGGAGCAGAGCUGUUAUACUCAAGUCUAUUGGUAUGUAUGUGUUUCGCUGUGUUCGUUCCAGUAUUUUGUAUGAUUUAUUUAAAAACUAAAAAUUCGAUCUCUGGUAUUGCAGCGAAAUUGUCUAAACUGGUAUUAACUAUUCCUGGUAAAUCGCGGAGAAGAGUGGCCUGAACAAAAAAGUCAGACCGAGACUAGAACCUCCCGCAGCGUAACAUGGAAAUCUUGGAACAAAAGAGACGCCGACUGGCUCGUGUUGUCCGGUUUGGAUAUCAGAGGCAAAGCGAACGUUGUGUGUACUAUUGCAAAAUAUAUAGCGGAUCUCCACGGUUAGGAUACAGACCACAACGCUUUGGACGUAUCUUUAAAAAAGAUUAAAAUCAGAGACUUUUUGGAUUUGUCUGGGGACAUUUUAAACAUUUUGUGGCAAAUUGGAUUUAAAACAUUUCGGAUACUGGAUACCUAGUUUGAUUUGUCCACAGAGCUUGUUUAAGACGUUUUCACCGCAUUUUAGGGUUUAUUUUUAAUUAAAGGCUUCUUAAAACAUGUGUGAAAAUGUGUAUAUUAUACAAUGAGUCUUAUAUUGUCUGCUCUGACAUAAAUAAAUUUUUAUAUUAGAUUUUA
Molecule: long non-coding RNA, 2063 nt
Organism: Paramisgurnus dabryanus
Lineage: Eukaryota; Metazoa; Chordata; Actinopteri; Cypriniformes; Cobitidae
Source: RefSeq, a predicted model, not a curated record